UACGUAGGGUGCAAGCGUUGUCCGGAAUUAUUGGGCGUAAAGAGCUUGUAGGCGGUUUGUCGCGUCUGCUGUGAAAUUUCGGGGCUCAACCCCGAACUUGCAGUGGGUACGGGCAGACUAGAGUGUGGUAGGGGAGACUGGAAUUCCUGGUGUAGCGGUGAAAUGCGCAGAUAUCAGGAGGAACACCGGUGGCGAAGGCGGCAUCCUGGACCGGUAUUGACGCUGAGGCGCGAAAGCCAGGGGAGCAAACGGG
RNAcentral lists this ribosomal RNA (253 nucleotides) under uncultured bacterium. RNAcentral describes it as "partial 16S ribosomal RNA". It matches the Rfam family "Bacterial small subunit ribosomal RNA", at positions 524 to 776 of the family's 1533-position model. The record is from RNAcentral.